Molecule: long non-coding RNA, 835 nt
Organism: Dreissena polymorpha
Lineage: Eukaryota; Metazoa; Mollusca; Bivalvia; Myida; Dreissenidae
Exons: 3
Source: RefSeq, a predicted model, not a curated record
CUUAGUGAGAACCAAGAUGUAUUUGCCUACGCUGUUUAGAUAAAUAUGUUUUAGUAUGAUUGCUGAGCACCAACAGUUGCCUGCGGAUCCAUGACUUUCGGAACCUCACACGUGGGUUGGUACAUUCUACACGUGCCGACGUCAUAGAUGUUAACACCAGAAGUAAUAGAAUGUUGCUGACGUUCAAAUAUAUGAGUGGAACUGUUACUUCACUUCACAUCUGGAAACGUGUCUCAAUUGGUAGGAACUACCUUGUUAUAUACAAUUGUUCUCUCAACUGAAAUCUGCCGUCCACAAGGAUUCCGAAGAAGCGGCUACUUUAAGAAUCGGGAUGUUUCGGAUGCCUUAGCGAUGAUCUGCGACUACCACGUGUCAGAUAACAAUGCUUCUGCACCCAUCUUGAAUUCCCAAGUUCAUAGGUGGAAUUGCAAAAUAAGAAAUCCGAAAGUUAAAUCUAACGUUUUCUUUUGAAACCAAGUUAGCGCUUAAGCCCUGCUAUGGCGGCCUAUAACUGGUACCGAUUAUGUGGUAUGAUACUUUGGUACACUUUAAAGGUAGAAAGCAAUGCUAUAAUAUUGUACAAGAAAGAUAAUUGCAGUUCCAGUUAAAGCAUUCACCUUUUGUAUCUACAUGUUUCUUCUUCUUUAAAUGAACAUUUAUCUAUAUUUUUUUCCAAUUCAAUAUGCUUUAUUUUCCUCGUCAAUAGAUGUGUGAAGGUCUUGACUAAUACAAUCAGUAUCACCCUUUGCAUGCUGAGAAAUUUGUCGUCUGCUAAAAUGUAGUCUGCUGAAUUUCUAAAAUAAGCAUUUUUUUAUUUUUUUUUCAAAGAAUACUU